UAGGGAAUCUUCGGCAAUGGACGAAAGUCUGACCGAGCAACGCCGCGUGAGUGAAGAAGGUUUUCGGAUCGUAAAACUCUGUUGUUAGAGAAGAACAAGGACGUUAGUAACUGAACGUCCCCUGACGGUAUCUAACCAGAAAGCCACGGCUAACUACGUGCCAGCAGCCGCGGUAAUACGUAGGUGGCAAGCGUUGUCCGGAUUUAUUGGGCGUAAAGCGAGCGCAGGCGGUUUCUUAAGUCUGAUGUGAAAGCCCCCGGCUCAACCGGGGAGGGUCAUUGGAAGCUGGGAGACUUGAGUGCAGAAGAGGAGAGUGGAAUUCCAUGUGUAGCGGUGAAAUGCGUAGAUAUAUGGAGGAACACCAGUGGCGAAGGCUGCUCUCUGGUCUGUAACUGACGCUGAGGCUCGAAAGCGUGGGGAGCAAACAGG
RNAcentral lists this ribosomal RNA (429 nucleotides) under Gemmatimonadota bacterium. Its description in RNAcentral is "Gemmatimonadetes bacterium partial 16S ribosomal RNA". It matches the Rfam family "Bacterial small subunit ribosomal RNA", at positions 355 to 776 of the family's 1533-position model. Lineage: Bacteria; Pseudomonadati; Gemmatimonadota. The record is from RNAcentral.